RNAcentral lists this small RNA (403 nucleotides) under Cryptococcus neoformans H99. RNAcentral's name for it is "Cryptococcus neoformans var. grubii H99 hypothetical RNA". The record is from RNAcentral. Lineage: Eukaryota; Fungi; Basidiomycota; Tremellomycetes; Tremellales; Cryptococcaceae.
CCGUUUCCAUCUCCUCAUCACUUAAAACAGCUCUUAAACUAAAAUCUCAGUCAUUGGAGAAAAUUUCCUUCACAAUAAACCCAAAACCUACACAUUGAUCUAUGUUGAUCUACCUAGCCCUACUCGCAAUUAUAUCCCUCAUUCUCCUCUUUCUCUGGUGGCGAUACCAAUGGCCAACAGGCUUUUUUUUUCAAGAAGCAUCGGUGCGCAAAGUGCAACGCCGCAGUGGCAUCAAAUGACUCUACUGUCGUUAAAAUCCAACCGGGAGUUUUGGGGAGGAUGAGGUGGGAGCAUGAAGACGGAACGGUUACAUGUCUGAAAUCUGGUGGACAAGCUUGAGCUGGAAUUGCCAGAGGAUAGGAUUGGGUGGUAAGAUUUGAGGCAUGUUUGUGGCUGAGGCUUC